This is a long non-coding RNA of Gallus gallus (chicken), 2327 nucleotides long. The record is from Ensembl. NCBI's taxonomy places the organism in Eukaryota, Metazoa, Chordata, Aves, Galliformes, Phasianidae.
CUCACUGAUUGAGAAUUUAUUAGAUUAUUCACAUUUAAAUAUAUGUGAUUACAUUUGUUUCAAUUCAUCAUAUAAAAGCAAUGAGAACUAAAGUUUUAUAGCAUGGUGAUCAAAAUCUAAUGUUACCUUUCAUUAUCCACAACUCACAUUUUGUAUUCAGCAUCACUAGUACAUGUAAGGUGUUGGAAUGUUUUAACACAUUCUUUUAGAAACUGAGAUAAAAAUAAAGAAUAUGCAGUCAGAUAAAAGUGAGAAAUAGAACAAACUAAGUUCUGCAGUACACUGGUUUCUCUCUGAACUAUCAAUGUCAUCUAGUUUAAAGGCCAAAUAAUUAGGGAGGGGAAGAAGUAUCUAAGAGUGAUCUAAGAGGAACAGUGAUCUCCUGGUGGAAUAGAAGUUCUUAAUACAUUUGGUGUCUCUAUUGCUGACAGGGGAAAUGGUGUGAAGAUGAAAAACAGGGUGUGCGGCUGCAACAGCAUCACUUUGAUCUUAGGCUACAAUUUUAAACAGCUCUACAUCCCUCAGAGUCUGGCAUAUAUUAUAUCAGCUCUUAUAGAAUUGCUACUACAGAAGGGAAUAGAGCUCAAAAGGCUCAAUGGCAGAUUUCAAGUUGCAUCCACAGAGAAUCCUGACAUCCAGCCUCAGUAUCUUGGUCAUAAUAAAAUAUCUGGCCCCAUCCAUCUUUAUUGUUCUUAACAAUCAAUAGUUUCAACAAGUACUGAGUUGCAUGUGCAUGUUGAAACUACCCCCCUGUGCACACACCCCCUGCCACAUACAUACGUUGCUCCAAAAAUAAUGUUUCUUAUUUAUUUUCAUGGAAAAUACAACAGAUAAAAAGAGUACAGUAACACUACUUUAUAGAGCAAAUUCUCUAUUAACACUGUUUUUCGAUACAGUUACCACCAUUAGCUCUGCAUUUUCCACCAUCAAUGAACAAGGACCUGUAAACCAUGCUUACAGGUGGAGGUGACCACUGCUUACAGUGGAGGUGACCACUGUCAAUGUCUCCACUGCUAAACACACCACCUAUUACCACACUGUGCUCACAUCCACUGUUUGGUCUCCAUAAACAUUCAGCAAGUUUUGAUAAAGUCAGUGGAUGCAAUAUUUUUCCACAUGGAUGAAAUAAACGACACAUCUUUGCUUCAUACACACCUCCAUGUCAGACACCGUUUUGUCAGACAGCCCUCUGCUGCCAUCUGUCACACGACAACAAAAUAUAACAGAAUAUUGGUGGGAAGAUUCAACCUCUACUGCCAUGCCACCAACAUCCACUUUUGAUGCUGUGGGGCCAACGUAAUAAAAUAAGAGGCAUUACUUUCACAGCAGCCCUCAUAUAUCCAAGAUUGAUUAGAGAAUUGAGCUGAAUGUUUCCAGUUUCCAGUAUUUUAGUUUUAGCAGAACAUAGUCUCUGGGACUUAAAAUCUAUUGACUUUUUUCUUAAUAACAGGUGUUUUUUGGUUUUUUGUUUUGUUUUGUUUUGUUUUGUUUGUUUUGUGGGUGGAUUUUUUGUUUGUUUUGUUUUCUGUUUGUUUGUUUUUUGCUUUUAUUUUAAUGGCAGAUAUAUACAGUAGAGACUGCAAUGGCACCUAUCCCACCUGAAAUUUAGAAACUUUGUUAUAAGCUUUACCAUUUUGUUUUCAUAGCAUCAUGCAUUAGUACCACAACCCUGUGGAGGAAACAUAAAGAGUUAACAAGCAAUAAAGAAGGACAAAUUUCCAUAUAUAUCUUUUUCUUUCUAAUGUUUACAGGCUACUACAAAGUUUCAUCCUGAGAUCCUCACCAGCUAAAAAUGGUCAGUUUUAUUUUCUAAACCUUUAGGUUCAUUUUACAACUACUCUGCUUCACAUAGAUCAUGCCAUGUAUGUAGGUGAAUAUAAUUACAAUUCCGUAAUUCUGAAGUCAAAUUCAACUCUGCUUAGCGAAGCCAAACAUUUUCCAGCUGACCUUACUCCUGAACUGUUCUACUGCAUUUACCUUCUAGCAUGGCCAAGCACAUUUCCCUUCUGCAUUUCCAUAUUUGACCGUAUUCCAAGUUUUGCAAGAGCUGCAUAGAAGUGGUUAUUUCCUUUCUUUUCCAUUUACAUGUGUAUCUCUGUGUUGCUUAUCCUGUGUGUGCCAUCAUCAUGUACUGAACCACAUUCCUCCACACAUCUUGCACUCUGGAGGAAGACUCAACUGUACCCUGCGGAAAAAGAGUCCCAGAUUCUUACUGUGAAGAACUGGAAAGCUGGUCUACAGUAAAGCACCAUAAGAACACAAAUUCCCUAUGUAAAGAUGGAGGACGUAACACUACACUGUACUUCAACAUUUCAACUAAUUAAGAG